AUGUACCUCAGUGGUAGAGUAUGUGCUUAGCAUGUAUGAGAUCCUGGGUUCAAUUCCCAGUAU
Molecule: transfer RNA, 63 nt
Filed under: Cavia porcellus (domestic guinea pig)
Lineage: Eukaryota; Metazoa; Chordata; Mammalia; Rodentia; Caviidae
Rfam family: tRNA
About the family: Transfer RNA (tRNA) molecules are approximately 80 nucleotides in length. Their secondary structure includes four short double-helical elements and three loops (D, anti-codon, and T loops). Further hydrogen bonds mediate the characteristic L-shaped molecular structure. tRNAs have two regions of fundamental functional importance: the anti-codon, which is responsible for specific mRNA codon recognition, and the 3' end, to which the tRNAs corresponding amino acid is attached (by aminoacyl-tRNA synthetases). tRNAs cope with the degeneracy of the genetic code in two manners: having more than one tRNA (with a specific anti-codon) for a particular amino acid; and 'wobble' base-pairing, i.e. permitting non-standard base-pairing at the 3rd anti-codon position.
Source: Rfam by way of RNAcentral